This 274-nucleotide ribosomal RNA is filed under the name uncultured bacterium. RNAcentral's name for it is "partial 16S ribosomal RNA". It matches the Rfam family "Bacterial small subunit ribosomal RNA", at positions 523 to 796 of the family's 1533-position model. The record is from RNAcentral.
AUACAGAGGGUGCGAGCGUUAAUCGGAAUUACUGGGCGUAAAGCGCGCGUAGGCGGCUUGGUCAGUCGGAUGUGAAAGCCCUGGGCUCAACCUGGGAAUUGCAUUCGAUACUGCCAAGCUAGAGUAUGGGAGAGGGAAGUGGAAUUUCCGGUGUAGCGGUGAAAUGCGUAGAUAUCGGAAAGAACACCAGUGGCGAAGGCGACUUCCUGGCCCAGUACUGACGCUGAGGUGCGAAAGCGUGGGGAGCGAACAGGAUUAGAUACCCUAGUAGUCC